UACAUGUGGGGCAAGCGUUGUUCGGAAUUACUGGGCAUAAAGGGUGCGUAGGUGGUUUGUUAAGUCAGUGGUGAAAGCCCAUAGCUCAACUAUGGAACUGCCAUUGAUACUGAAAGGCUUGAGUACAGACGAGGUUGGCGGAAUGGAUGGUGUAGCGGUGAAAUGCAUAGAUACCAUCCAGAACUCCGAUUGCGUAGGCAGCUAACUAGGCUGUAACUGACGCUGAGGCACGAAAGCGUGGGGAGCAAACAGG
RNAcentral lists this ribosomal RNA (253 nucleotides) under uncultured bacterium. RNAcentral's name for it is "partial 16S ribosomal RNA". It matches the Rfam family "Bacterial small subunit ribosomal RNA", at positions 524 to 776 of the family's 1533-position model. The record is from RNAcentral.